CCUUAGUUUCAGUUGUUAGGCAUUCGAAAAACGGAGAGAAACAGAAUCAGAAAAAUUGAGCAGAAGAGUCUUCUCUCAAAUAGUAUAUCAGUGUGCUUCCCUUCCUGUCUAAGUGUGAAGUAGUGUGCUUUCAUUUCAAGGAAGGCCAGUGCCAGUACUGUUUGUCUUCAGCCCAAAUGAUUGUGAGAUCCCUUGGAUACACCAUGAAGCUGUUGUUGGACUUCUUGUCAACCCAGUACUUCUGUAACAAUAACAGCGAUAGUGUUAAUACUCGGAAAAAGGAAUGAUAAUUGAUAUUGAUGAUGUUCAUGUACUUGUUAGUUGAUUUCAAUUGUCUUUUCUGAGGUGCGCUUGU
Long non-coding RNA from Rosa rugosa (rugosa rose), 355 nucleotides. RefSeq lists it as uncharacterized. The transcript is spliced from 2 exons. The record is from RefSeq and is a predicted model, not a curated record. Lineage: Eukaryota; Viridiplantae; Streptophyta; Magnoliopsida; Rosales; Rosaceae.